RNAcentral lists this ribosomal RNA (468 nucleotides) under uncultured bacterium. Its description in RNAcentral is "partial 16S ribosomal RNA". It matches the Rfam family "Bacterial small subunit ribosomal RNA", at positions 28 to 507 of the family's 1533-position model. The record is from RNAcentral.
GACGAACGCUGGCGGCGUGCUUAACACAUGCAAGUCGAACGGAAAGGCCCUGCUUUUGUGGGGUGCUCGAGUGGCGAACGGGUGAGUAACACGUGAGUAACCUGCCCUUGACUUUGGGGUAACUUCAGGAAACUGGGGCUACUACCGGAUAGGAGCUCCUGCUGCAUGGUGGGGGUUGGAAAGUUUCGGCGGUUGGGGAUGGACUCGCGGCUUAUCAGCUAGUUGGUGGGGUAGUGGCUUACCAAGGCUUUGGCGGGUAGCCGGCCUGAGAGGGUGACCGGCGACCUUGGGACUGCGAUACGGCCCAGACUCCUACGGUAGGCAGCAGGGGGGAAUAUUGCACAAUGGGCGGACGCCUGAUGCAGCAACGCCGCGUGCGGGAUGACGGCCUGCGGGUUGUAAACCGCUGUCGCCUGUGACGAAGCGUGAGUGACGGUAAUGGGUAAAGAAGCACCGGCUAACUACGUG